Molecule: long non-coding RNA, 442 nt
Organism: Physeter macrocephalus (sperm whale)
Lineage: Eukaryota; Metazoa; Chordata; Mammalia; Artiodactyla; Physeteridae
Exons: 3
Source: RefSeq, a predicted model, not a curated record
AGUGAUCAUGCAAGGAAGGUUCCAUUGCUCCCAUUUUGAAGAUGGGCAAUGCCUGAGUUACAGGAGAUGUGGAAACUGAGAGAUCAAUUUGCCCAAAGCCACACAGCUAAGUGGCACUGUUAAGUGAUGGAGCCAAGAUUCUCAUGCAGAUAUCCAGACAGAGAAAAUGAGAUUGCCAGAGGAAAAGUGACUAGCCCAAUAACAUAGAGCUCAUUAGUGACAGAACUGAGAAUCUAACCCAUGUCUUUCUUACUGCAAAAUCUCACUACCAUCCACAAGGUGUUUCCUCCAGUGGCCUACUGCAGUGAGUGCAAGUCCAUCAAUAGUAACUUCCUUUGCUAUAGGUUUUGUGUUAAGCCAUCUGUCUUUUUUUUCUUUUAUUGAAAUAUAGUUGAUUUACAAUGUUGUGUUAGUUUCAGGUAUUUAAACCAUCUGUCUCCAU